RNAcentral lists this ribosomal RNA (495 nucleotides) under Macrolampis omissa. RNAcentral describes it as "eukaryotic LSU rRNA". It matches the Rfam family "Eukaryotic large subunit ribosomal RNA", at positions 793 to 1052 of the family's 3401-position model. The record is from RNAcentral. Lineage: Eukaryota; Metazoa; Arthropoda; Insecta; Coleoptera; Lampyridae.
ACCUCUAGCGCGCACGCUGGGACCCGAAAGAUGGUGAACUAUGCCUGGUCAGGACGAAGUCAGGGGAAACCCUGAUGGAGGUCCGCAGCGAUUCUGACGUGCAAAUCGAUCGUCAGAACUGGGUAUAGGGGCGAAAGACCAAUCGAACCGUCUAGUAGCUGGUUCCCUCCGAAGUUUCCCUUAGGAUAGCUGGCGCUCGCUUUGCGAGAGUCUCAUGCGGUAAAGCGAAUGAUUAGAGCGAAUCGGGGUCGCGCCGCAAAAGCGCACCGCCGAACGAACGCCUCGUUCUGUUCUUGAAUGUCGCGUCGGGCGUGCCGAACGCCGGCGAGAACGCGUCGGGUUCGAGGGGCCGCAAUAACGACGGGCACAAGUCCCGCCGCGCCGCCUCGAGCUUCCCGAACGUUCCCAUUGCGCGUCGGCGACUCCCAACGGGUCGCGACGUCCUACCGGCGCGAGAAGUGCACGCCGUCGCCGCAUCACCCGCGGCGUCGGACG